UACGUAGGGGGCUAGCGUUAUCCGGAAUUACUGGGCGUAAAGGGUGCGUAGGUGGUUUCUUAAGUCAGAGGUGAAAGGCUACGGCUCAACCGUAGUAAGCCUUUGAAACUGGGAAACUUGAGUGCAGGAGAGGAGAGUGGAAUUCCUAGUGUAGCGGUGAAAUGCGUAGAUAUUAGGAGGAACACCAGUUGCGAAGGCGGCUCUCUGGACUGUAACUGACACUGAGGCACGAAAGCGCGGGGAGCAAACAGG
This 252-nucleotide ribosomal RNA is filed under the name uncultured bacterium. RNAcentral describes it as "partial 16S ribosomal RNA". It matches the Rfam family "Bacterial small subunit ribosomal RNA", at positions 524 to 776 of the family's 1533-position model. The record is from RNAcentral.